Molecule: RNA transcript, 7391 nt
Organism: Hyla sarda
Lineage: Eukaryota; Metazoa; Chordata; Amphibia; Anura; Hylidae
Gene: PUM2
Gene name: pumilio RNA binding family member 2
Exons: 23
Source: RefSeq, a predicted model, not a curated record
AGGAGGAAGUGUGAGGAGGAGGAGGAGGUGAGUGUGGUCAGGUGGAGGCCGCAGUGAGGAGGCGCUGGCCUCCCUCCUCCCUCUCUCCCAGGCUGCAGUGCGCAGGAGGAGGAGGUGUAGUAGUAGCAGCACUCAGGCCGCCGCUCUCCUCCUCGCCAUGUUGCAGUGACUCGGACCUCCAGCAGCCUCCACUCUCCGUCUAUGCGGCCCGAACCUCGCUCUGGAGCUGUCACCGAACCAGGCGGUGAGUACGCGGCGCGCACAGCAGGCGAACCCGGGGAUCGGGGGGGACGACUAGGCCGCGGUGGGCCCGGCUCAUCAGGGGAGGAGGAUCCGGCUGGUGGUAGGUGCCUAUGUGGAAUGAACGUUCCAUGCGCCAUAGGCAUGAAUGAAGUGGCGUGGCAAGAGACCAGAGGAAUAAUGCAUGCCAGCAAUGGGCAGGAGGCAUUGGGGGUUGGGAUCCCCUCUGGAGGAGCAACAUCAGGGCCCAUUGGAAAUAACCCACAUGCCAUUCCUCCGGGGGCCACUGGUGCCCAGGUGCCUCUGAGCGGCCGCUCUCAGGAUGAUGCCACGGUGGGAUAUUUCUUCCAGAGGCAAGCUGGAGAACAGGUGAACGGCUACACAAAUAAACACCGCUGGCCGACAGGGGAUAGCGUGGAAGCUUCAGUGAGGUCUGCGGAUGACAUGAAUCAUGACUUCCAGGCGCUCGCUUUAGAAUCUCGAGGAAUGGGAGAGCUCCUACCGGCCAAAAAGUUUUGGGAACCUGAAGAUCCAGCCAAAGAUGGACAGAAAGGGAUGUUCCUUCCAGGCGAAUGGCGGGAGAAUACAUGGGGAGCAUCUCACCAUUCCAUGUCACAGCCGAUCAUGGUGCAGAGGAGACCCGGACAAGGCUUUCAGGGAAAUCAUGAGGUCAACUCUGUGCUGUCUCCACGCUCAGAAAGUGGCGGUCUGGGAGUGAGCAUGGUGGAGUAUGUCCUCAGCUCGUCGCCAGCUGAUAAACUCGACCCAAGAUUCCCGAGGAAAGGAGCCUAUGGUGCUAGAGACUGCGAUUUAGAUGGACCAGAGAAGGCAGAACAGAAAGGCAAAGCUUCUCCAUUUGAAGAAGAAAAGAAACGCGACCUGAUGUCCGCCGAUGGGGAUGAAGUCUCUAAAUUAAAUGGCCGAGGACUUCCCAAUGGAAUCGAUGCAGACUGCAAAGAAUUUAACCGCACUCCAGGAAGUCGCCAAGCUUCUCCGACAGAAAUAGCAGAUAGAAUUGUCCAGAACCAAAAUGUGACAGAGGGGUUAGGUCAGCUCUCCAAUCCUAUGGUCAACAAGCCCCUCACAGAUGAGUUUGCAGGUCCUGAAGGACAGAACCUGGAUGGCAUAGAACAAGUUGGACUGGAUUCACUGCAAUUUGACUACCCAGGGAACCCACUACCAAUGGACUCUGCAGGAGGGGGUGUCGGGCUGUUUGACUACAACACCCAGCAGCAGCUCUUCCAGAGGUCAAAUGCAUUAACAGUGCAGCAACUAAAUGCAGCUCAGCAACAGCAGCAACAACAGUAUGCAUUGGCGGCAGCACAACAACAACACCUUGCAGGUGUGUUCUCUGCAGGUCUGGCCCCUGCUGCCUUUGUGUCAAACCCUUACAUCAUUAGCACCGCUCACCCUGGCACGGAUCCAUACACGGCUGCUGGUCUCGCUGCUGCUGCAACGUUAGGACCUGCAGUUGUACCCCCACAAUAUUAUGGUGUACCCUGGGGAGUGUAUCCAGCUGGAUUGUUCCAGCAGCAAGCUGCCGCCGCCGCUGCCGCCUCUGCCGCUAACAACAAUAACCAGCAGGCAGCGACACAAGCAUCACAGGGCCAGCAACAGAUAAUGCGGGCUGCAGCCAACCAACGUCCACUCACUCCCAGCCAAGGACAGCAAGGACAACAGAAUGACUCCCUCGCAGCUGCAAAUUCAGCCCUUGCAUUCGGACAAGGUCUGGCUACAAGCAUGUCAGGCUACCAGGUUCUUGCUCCCACUGCCUAUUAUGACCAGAAUGGUGCCUUGGUGGUUGGUCCUGGAGCAAGAGCGGGGCUUGCUGCCCAAGUGCGAUUAGUGGCGUCCACACCGGUCCUCAUCAGUCCCGCAGCUGCACAAGCGGCUGCUGCCGCAUCUGCCUCUGGUGCCAACAACCUUUCAGCAGCCACAAACGGCAUCUUCCGACAACUGGCCCCUCAGCAGCAACAACCACAGCAGCAGCAGUCCCAGCCUAAUGCCAACCUCCAUUCCAGCUCAUUUUACGGGAAUAACUCCUUGACAAACAGCUCUCAGAGCAGUUCUCUGUUCUCACAUGGGCCAGGACAACCUGGAAAUACAUCUCUUGGGUUUGGAAGCAGCAACUCUCUCGGCGCAGCAAUUGGUUCGGCCUUUGGAGGCUUUGGAUCAUCAGUUGGGAAUUCGGCAGGUGGUAGUGGCUCCAGAAGAGAUUCUCUUUCUGCUAGUUCUGACUUAUACAAAAGGUCUGGCAGCAGCUUGGCACCCAUAGGUCAACCCUUUUACAAUAGCCUGGGAUUCUCCUCAUCUCCGAGCCCAAUAGGCAUGCCUCUUCCAAGCCAAACGCCCAGCCAUUCACUAACACCGCCGCCGUCACUUCCAUCACAUGGAUCAUCAUCCAGUUUGCAUUUAGGAGGGCUGACAAAUGGCAGUGGGCGGUAUAUUUCCGCUGCCCCUGGAGCAGAGGCCAAAUAUCGCAACGCCGCCAGUGGAUCCAGUUUCUUUAGUUCCAGUAGCCAGCUCUUCCCACCUUCUCGCCUACGAUAUAACAGAUCUGACAUAAUGCCCUCCGGACGCAGCAGAUUAUUGGAAGAUUUCCGCAACAACCGAUUUCCAAACUUGCAGCUCAGGGAUCUUAUUGGUCACAUUGUUGAGUUCUCCCAGGACCAGCAUGGUUCCAGGUUUAUCCAGCAGAAGCUAGAACGGGCCACUCCAGCAGAGCGUCAAGUGGUUUUCAGUGAGAUCCUGCAAGCCGCUUAUCAGCUGAUGACAGAUGUCUUUGGAAACUAUGUUAUUCAAAAGUUUUUCGAAUUUGGCAGUAUGGAUCAGAAACUGGCGUUGGCAACACGUAUUCGCGGACAUGUACUUCCAUUGGCUUUACAGAUGUACGGAUGUCGAGUAAUUCAGAAGGCUCUUGAAUCCAUAUCUCCAGAUCAGCAGAGUGAAAUGGUGAAGGAGCUGGACGGACAUGUUCUGAAGUGUGUGAAGGAUCAGAAUGGAAACCACGUGGUUCAGAAAUGUAUUGAAUGUGUCCAGCCACAGUCCCUCCAGUUCAUUAUAGAUGCCUUUAAAGGACAGGUGUAUGUUCUUUCCACUCAUCCUUAUGGCUGCAGAGUCAUACAGCGCAUUCUGGAGCACUGUACAGUCGAGCAGACUAUGCCCAUUCUGGAGGAAUUACAUCAGAGCACAGAACAGCUGGUGCAGGUAACACUCAUUGAUCAGUAUGGAAAUUAUGUCAUCCAGCAUGUUCUAGAACAUGGUCGAUCAGAGGACAAAAGCAAAAUUGUGUCUGAAAUUAGAGGAAAAGUCUUGGCGUUGAGUCAGCACAAGUUUGCCAGUAAUGUUGUAGAGAAAUGUGUCAGUCACUCAUCCCGUGCAGAGAGAGCGCUAUUGAUUGAUGAGGUGUGCUGCCAGAAUGAUGGUCCUCACAGUGCCUUAUACACCAUGAUGAAGGACCAGUAUGCAAACUACGUGGUGCAGAAGAUGAUUGAUAUGGCAGAGCCAGCUCAGCGCAAAAUCAUCAUGCAUAAGAUCCGACCACACAUUACAACAUUGCGUAAAUACACCUAUGGGAAGCACAUACUGGCCAAGCUGGAGAAAUACUACAUGAAGACUAGCAGCGACCUGGGGCCGAUGGUUGGACCAUCGAACGGCAUGCUGUAGAGAAAGCCAGUAAUUGAGAACACACCUGUCAUGAACGAGGAACCUUCCGACCCUCCUUCCCUUCGCUAUUUCUUACCUUAGCUGAUGUGUACCACACUAUUUAUUGUGAUCCCUUUCUGACUACCUUUUUUUGGGGCUUCCCUCCAGCCACCGUGGGAGACUUACCCAGCCGCCUAGCUAGUACAAAACCAGAGCCUGUAAAUGAUGUAAUUGUAUCAAGCUGUCACAUAUUUUGUAAAUUUUUACCUUGUAAAGUUCCUGUAAAAAGUGGUAGUUUUUAAAGGGAAAGUACAGUAUUUUAAUAAUGCUGGUUUGCCGGUCGGGUCAGUCUCCCAUCAGCUCGGAGGGUUAAUCUGUAAAUAGAGAUGUCAUCUUAUUUUGUGACAUAUUAUCCUUUAUCCCUUUUAAACUUAUCCUCCCCCUUGCCCCUUCCUCCUUAAACAAGUAUCUUUCCACAGACAUAUAGGACCGUGGCUUCAAUUCUCCUACAUACAGUUAAGCUCCUGUUUAUCAGCAGUCCUGAUAUCUCGUAUGCAUUUCCAGGCGGAGUAACAGAAAAACAAACAAUGGAGUUCAAUGCAGACAGUCGCCCUCAUUUACUUAAACUGUCUAAUUCUUAGACAUUUUAAAUAAUAUUAAUAAAUUUGGCACAUUCUUAGGGUAUGUUCACACGAGAGAAUGUCCGUGCGGACAUUCCCCUGACAGUGGAGUAGCGGCAGAACAUGCUGGCACUAGGACCGCUCGGAAAUGCACCAUCUCAUUGACGGCAAUGCAUUUCUGUGUGGACUCCGCACGUGGACAUGUCUAUUCUUCCUGCGGACACCAGAACUUGAACAUGCUGGGAGUUGUAGUUUUGCAGCAGCUGGGGGUACCCUUUUUGGGAAAUGCUGCCUUUGACUGUCUAGUCUAUGUUUAGGACAACUGUUAGCUUAAACAUGCAACAGAAUUCUGGCCCAAUGUCACAUCUUAAAGCCGCACUUUUUACUGUGGCUUACAUUUUUAUAAAGUGGCAUAGGUCAUGCAAGACAGUUUUUUUUGUGCACAUAAAACCUGAAUCCUGGCACAGUUUCAGUAGGCACCAGCAAUCCAUCAGAGAUCCAUCGGUGUGGGAAGUGCAUUACGAAAACACAUGGUCCAAACCCAGACAACCCUAAUAAGAAUGUUUAUGCAUAAAAGGGGUACUGUCUAAGAUUAGACUAAAAGAGUGGUGUUUUAUGGAAAUUCCUGGACUACUCCUUCCAGGAUCUUCUGAGGGGCAGCAGCCUCAGUUACUACACAAACGUCCAUCCGUCCAACUGCAGUGACCUCCAAAAUAGUGGCGAUUAGUAGGUUACCUGUCUAGGAAUGGCUGCUCAAGUCCUCAAAAUAUCCUCUUGGACUGUGUAUGUAGGAAUUGGAUGCAACCAAAACUUUAUGCAAUCAUUGAUCUGCAACCUACUUCUCUUCAGCCAUGCUAAACUACAAGGACAUGCUAGGAGUUGUAGUCUGCUGAUUGAGCACCGUUGUUUUUAGACCGGAAUGAAAUGUAGCCAAGCGAAGUUAAAGGAGUAAUCCAGUUUAGAAAAAAUGCAUCCCCUAUCCCAGUCUUUCCCAACCAGUUUGCCUCCAGCUGUUGCAAAACUCCAAUUCCCAGCAUGCCCGGACAGCCUUCGGCUGUCCGGGCAUGCUGGGAGUUGGAGUUUUGCAACAGUUGGAGGCACACUGGUUGGGAAAGACUGCCCUAUCCAAAGGAUAGGGGCUAAGUAUAAUAUUGCAGGGGGUCCGAAUGCUUGUCGACACGCAGCCUGCAUGCAUCUCUAUGGCAAAACCGGAGAUACAGUGCUUUGGCGUGCCCAUAGAGAUGCAUGGAGGGCAGGUGCGGACCCCCCAGGCCGUGCUCUAGGAGUGCUGGAGUGCCAUACAGAAGAUCUCGGGGGGGUUGCAGUGGUCGGACCCACUGUGAUCUGACACUCAUCCCAUAUUCUUUGGAUAGGGGAUACAUUUCUCUAAACUGGAUAACCCCUUUAAGGUCCAGCAAUACAAGUAUUGCUUUAGCUCACUUUACUGCCUGCUGGAAAGACGUGUGUGUGUGUGUGUAUACACAACAGCUGUAAUUUUUGUUUUUCCCCUUUUCUUCUUACAUUUCUUUUAUUUUCUUAUUAAUUUGAAAACAAGUGAUAGCUGAUGUAUAGCACUGGCUAUUUUCAGUUUUUCCUCAUGUUAUUUAUGCACCAUCUGAGAGGCUUAUAGUAAUGAAGGCCUAUUAACUAUUUCGUUUUCCCUUGUAUUCACUGAAAAAAGGGACCUGGUGCAAAAAUCAUGCAGUUAGCAUGCAACAUAGGCUUCCAUGCGUUCCUUUGUUAAAUGCAACCCCUGGGGGAGGCUCAAUAAAAUUCUGUCCAGAGCCUUCUGAAUCCACAGAUAAAAUAUAGGAGUCGAAAAAAAAGAAGACGACUCCAUUUUGUUUCCUGUUUAGCACCUACUGAAGCACUGACGACGAAUCAUUGCUUAGCUCUGCAGUGGUAGUUUUUUUUUGUUUUGUUUUUUUUUUGUUUUUUUAUAUGUACACAGUGGUGUGAUUUAUUUUUAUUUUAAUAAUUUUUUUUUUUUUUGUUCUGCUGUCAUAACUAGCCAAAUCGUAUAGAUUUAGAUAGUGGAUAAAAGUCCUUUUCGCGCAUGGUAAAAAAUAGAUAAAAAAAAAAUAUAUAAAUAUAUAUAUAUAUAUAUUCGAAUGGCUUUCUGUUUGUAAUUUUUCCUUUUUGGGUCCUAUAUAAAUAUCUGCUUUGUAUUGUAUAAGUGUAACUAAAUGAGUAGUUGACCGUUUACAGUCUUUGUUUAAUACGAGCCUUGCUUAUUUUGUAGUUGGUUGUACAGAUUGUACAUUUGUAAACCUUUUUUGCUGUAUAUGUUACUUCGUUUUCACCCCUUCAUCUGGGAAGGGGCAGAAACUUUUUUGCAUUUUAGUGUACAUUUGGGUGUCUCUAUAUUGCCUUGGCAAAUAGUGUUGUAUAAUGUAAAUUUCUUUGAAAAUCAAGUUUUUGGUUUUGUUUUGUUUUUUUAACCAGUCUUUCUACAGCUCGGUAAAAAAAGUCUAUAUAAAUAUAUAAAUACCAGCUUCUCUAUUUAUCUAGCGCUGGAGAACCCGUUCUUGUUUCUACACCGCGGCUCUAACAUGUUGAUAGGAAUCAAUGCAGUACAUUGUGCUUAGUGAGUAGAAAUGAUAUAUAUAUGUCCAUGUAUAUAAGUUCUGUUCACAGGGGAGAGCCGCACGAGUAAGAAGACCAGUGGCUUGCUUUGUAUAGUACUGUAUUUUUCAUUAGCCUGCUCAAAGCCAAGAGGAGAAAAAAAAAACUUAUGUAAAUUAUUGUCAAUUUUGGUGAACAUACAACAUUGUAUCAAUAAUCUAUAGAUGAUGUACAUUUACAAGCGGCCUUAUGUACAUUUUCCAAUGAUCUUUUUAAAAGGCAAAAUUGUGACCACAUGUGUAUAAUUAAAAGACUUUUUAA